CCUUAUCCUCAGGAAGCCCUGAGCGCUGAGAGGCGCUGUUACAGAACCAAACUGGGGUUCACUCGCUAGGCCUACUUAGGUGCCUGGAAUUUCCCUUCAAGGAACUCAGGAGUUUUCUUUAUUUUCAUCCUUGGGAAGGCUCAUUAGGCCCCUAAGAGGGGGUCCUGUUCCCAUCUCAGGACUAAAAUGCAAUGAAGAUGUUGCUCAGAGGCAGCUGGAGAGGGAUGGGUCUGUGGGUGACGCCCCGCAGAGUGAAGCCGAGAUGAUGUGUCCACCAAGGCCGGAGGGGAGGGACAUUUCACUUUUUAAAUCAGCUUUCUGAAGUAUGAUCUCCAUAUAAUCACUUAGAAGCAUACAGCGCAAUGAUCUUGACAGAUGCCAGCAUCCUUGGAACCACUGCCACAACCAACGUCUCAAACCAUUCCAUCAAACCAGAACAUGCCUGGUGCCCUGAAGCGUCUCCCUUCAAUGGCAGAACCAGCAGAGGUUCAGUGGUCACAAGGCUGGUCUCCAACUCCUGGGUGCAAGCGAUCCUCCCACCUCGGCCUCCCAAAGUGCUGGGAUUACAGGCAUGAGCCACCAUGCCCAGCCAGGAAUGGAUUUUCUCACAGUUCUCUGUGGUGGAAGUCUGAGAUCAAGGUGUUGGCAGGGCUGGGUCUCUCUGAGGCCUUUCUCCCCAGCUUACAGGUGGCAGCCUCCUCUCUCUGUCUUUCCUUGUCUUCCUUGUGUCCACAGCUGUGUCCAAAUUCCCCUUUCUAAUAAGGACAUCAGUCAUGUUGGAUUAGGGCCCUCCCUCCUGACCUUGUUUUAGCUUAAUCUCUGUAACUUAACCUCAGUAAAGAUCCUAUUUCCAAAUGUGUUCACAUUCUGAGGUCCUGGGGAUUAGGACUUUGAAAGGGUUAAAACAGGCUCUUCUGGCAUAUUGACAAUUUCAGCUAAAGACUCUUGAGAAACAGCAGGUGCAAAAAGAUCACAGUGACCUCCAUGCUGUACCUUGAGAUGAAAUUCCAAUGUGAAAGAUGCCCUCUCCAUCCUAGAAGGGAAAGCAACAUCCUUAUCUUCGGAAGCGAAAAGUCCAAACAGAGAGCGUACUGUGAGUACCUCAUUAGCAUCGCUCCAUUCUCUAAGCUUCCCCGCAGACUUCAGUUGCUUCUUCACAGCUCUGCUCUUUGUCCCGUCCAAUCUCUGAGUAACUGACUCACUGCUUCUGCGGGUCUUCAUUUCUGCAGGAGGGCUCCCAUGCUACAUAAAUCCUGCAUUAUGCUUUUCUCCUGUUAGUCUAUGUUAUGUCCAUUUAAUUCUCAGGCCCAGCCGGGACCCUAAGAGGACAGAGGUGGAGUUUUUCCACCCCUAACAACUUUCGCCGAUCACAAUUCAAUCCUAGCAGUGCCUUUCUCUGGAGGGGCUCUGCCAGCAUGAAUUCCUUUACGGGUGGAAGCCUCACAGUCCAGUCUACCAGUAAGGUCUAUAUGGGAUUGGCUGGAGGGAGCUACGAAGUCAAGCGGCGUCAGGUACGAAAAACAUAAAUCCCAUAUCCAAGGGCCGGGAGGCGGUAGAGCAAACCACGCACAGCCGGGCAACUUAAGGGCAAGGAAGGCUUCCUGCAGGAGGUGAAUUUGGCACAAGGGAUACGUUUUUAGGCCCCGAGUGGAGGAUCUGGGUUUCAAACCAGACUUUUGAAAAACACACUCCUAUUGUAGAAAGGCUUGCGGGUUGGUUUUAAUCACUUCUCAAAGCUACACUAGGCGUUCGCCGCUCAGGAUCCCCAGUUUAGCCUAAUAAAAAAAAAGUAAUUACAUCAUAUUACAGAUAAUUUGAUUGUGUCUGAGACGAUAAUUGAGUUAAAACGCUUAUUGUAACAGACACAUCAGAUUGGCAAGGAGGAAGCUCGGCUUAAAUACAGUGUUGAGAGUGGAAUUAAAGGAUUGUCAAUGCAGUU
This 1939-nucleotide long non-coding RNA is filed under the name Pongo abelii (Sumatran orangutan). Its description in RNAcentral is "lincRNA". Lineage: Eukaryota; Metazoa; Chordata; Mammalia; Primates; Hominidae. The record is from RNAcentral.